CUGUAUCCCUGUGGCUGGCAGGACCCAAAAUGAUACCCAGGGGCUUUACUUCUGGGUUGAGCCACUGCUUCUCUGCCUGGAGCUGUCUCCACAUCUUCAGCAGCUUUCAUCUGUGAGACUUGGGAAGUCCCAGGAGGAAGAGCACAGUGGUCAGCUGCACUGGUUUUCCAUGUCGUUAUCUUGAGGAGGCAGAGAGGGCUUGAGCUGUCAUCUGCUGCUGGGAACUGCUGGGAACCAUCAUCCUCAUCGUGCUCAGGCUUCAGAUGGUUUACACAAGGUGAGAUCUUUGGAAAACUAACUGCCCAGAGCUCUGAAGCUUUCAGCCUUCACGCUAACGCACGGGCCCAGCUGGCUGGAGAUUAAAGAGCGCAGUUGAAAACCAAAAGAGCAUUUGAAAUUGCACCACUGAGCUGGCAGGAAAUUCCAGCUUUUUGUAGCUGUCGGAGGCGUUGGAACGGCGAGG
This is a long non-coding RNA of Dryobates pubescens (Downy woodpecker), 463 nucleotides long. RefSeq lists it as uncharacterized. The record is from RefSeq and is a predicted model, not a curated record. The transcript has 3 exons. NCBI's taxonomy places the organism in Eukaryota, Metazoa, Chordata, Aves, Piciformes, Picidae.